This 440-nucleotide ribosomal RNA is filed under the name uncultured bacterium. RNAcentral describes it as "partial 16S ribosomal RNA". It matches the Rfam family "Bacterial small subunit ribosomal RNA", at positions 338 to 795 of the family's 1533-position model. The record is from RNAcentral.
CCUACGGGAGACUGCAGUGGGGAAUAUUGCACAAUGGGGGAAACCCUGAUGCAGCGACGCCGCGUGAGUGAAGAAGGAAUUCGUUAUGUAAAGCUCUAUCAGCAGGGAAGAAAAUGACGUUACCUGAAUAACAAGGCCUGGCCAACUACGUGUCAGCAGCCGCGGUAAUACGGAGGGGGCAAGCGUUAACCGGAUUUACUGGGUGUAAAGGGAGCGUAGACGGCAGGGCAAGUCUGGAGGGAAAGGCGGGGGCUCAACCCCCGGACUGCUCUGGAAACUGGACGGCUGGAGUGCAGGGGAGGUAAGUGGAAUUCCUAGUGUAGCGGUGAAAUGCGUAGAUAUUAGGAGGAACACCAGUGGCGAAGGCGGCUUGCUGGACUGUAACUGACGUUGAGGCUCGAAAGCGUGGGGAGCAAACAGGAUUAGAUACCCCUGUAGUC